Asparagus officinalis (garden asparagus) is the source of this 536-nucleotide long non-coding RNA. RefSeq lists it as uncharacterized. The transcript has 3 exons. Lineage: Eukaryota; Viridiplantae; Streptophyta; Magnoliopsida; Asparagales; Asparagaceae. The record is from RefSeq and is a predicted model, not a curated record.
AUAUAGAGAGAUGUCAAAAGUGGCACUUAUACAAAACAGUGAGCUUAAAGGGUGUCUAAGCUUAUUGCAAGUAUGGGCAUGGGAGAGACUUCAUUUGAAGCCGAGACUAUGCACGCAUUUACAAUUAGAUGGACAAAUUCCACUGGGAUGCAGAUGGAAUGUCGAAAAAUGCUAUGACGAGACCCCGGCUAGACAAUUGGAUUUCUACCGGAAUGAGCUUGACCGUAUGAAGAUUUUUCAGAUGGAAUGGGAGCCCUACACCCAAUUUCUACCUCAGCUACCCCCAAUAUGCACAGAAUACCAAGUUGUAUGGAGAGCUAGAGUUCCUCUUAUAUGUUUGGAGAUAGUAGAAAUGCAUGUACCGGACCGCGUGCUUCGACAAUUUGGUCGUGCACAACAUGUUCCGCAGUUUGUUGAAAAGAUAGAGAGGAAGGCAAAAAAAGGAGGCCAGCAAAUAAACUGGAUGAUCGUGCAUCAAGCUUUUAUACACAGAUGGAAUGAUAGGCAUUUUUGCAUUGUCAACCAAAUUGAACCAA